UACGUAUGGGGCAAGCGUUAUCCGGAUUUACUGGGUGUAAAGGGAGCGCAGGCGGCCUGCCAAGUCUGGUGUGAAAACCCGGGGCUCAACCCCGGGCCUGCAUUGGAAACUGGCGGGCUGGAGUGUCGGAGGGGCAGGCGGAAUUCCUAGUGUAGCGGUGAAAUGCGUAGAUAUUAGGAGGAACACCGGUGGCGAAGGCGGCCUGCUGGACGAUGACUGACGCUGAGGCUCGAAAGCGUGGGGAGCAAACA
RNAcentral lists this ribosomal RNA (251 nucleotides) under uncultured bacterium. RNAcentral describes it as "partial 16S ribosomal RNA". It matches the Rfam family "Bacterial small subunit ribosomal RNA", at positions 524 to 774 of the family's 1533-position model. The record is from RNAcentral.